Molecule: ribosomal RNA, 728 nt
Filed under: uncultured bacterium
Lineage: Bacteria
Description: bacterial SSU rRNA
Rfam family: Bacterial small subunit ribosomal RNA
Source: RNAcentral
AGAGUUUGAUCCUGGCACAGAGCGAACGCUGGCGGCUUGCUUAACACAUGCAAGUCGCACGGUUUGGGGCUUCGGCUCCAGGCAGUGGCGGACGGGUGAGUAAUGCGCAGGUAUCUAUCCUUGGGUGGGGGACAACCGCGGGAAACUGCGGCUAAUACCGCAUGACGACUAUGGUCCAAAGGCCGAAAGGUCGCCUGAGGAGGAGCCUGCGUCCGAUUAGCUAGUUGGUGGGGUAAGAGCUUACCAAGGCGAUGAUCGGUAGCUGGUCUGAGAGGAUGAUCAGCCACACUGGGACUGAGACACGGCCCAGACUCCUACGGGAGGCAGCAGUGGGGAAUAUUGGACAAUGGGCGCAAGCCUGAUCCAGCGAUGCCGCGUGUGUGAAGAAGGUCUUCGGAUUGUAAAGCACUUUCGGCGGGGACGAUGAUGACGGUACCCGCAGAAGAAGCCCCGGCUAACUUCGUGCCAGCAGCCGCGGUAAUACGAAGGGGGCUAGCGUUGCUCGGAAUGACUGGGCGUAAAGGGCGCGUAGGCGGUUUGAACAGUUGGGCGUGAAAUUCCAGGGCUUAACCUUGGGACUGCGUUCAAUACGUUUGGACUUGAGUUCGGAAGAGGGUCGUGGAAUUCCCAGUGUAGAGGUGAAAUUCGUAGAUAUUGGGAAGAACACCGGUGGCGAAGGCGGCGACCUGGACCGAAACUGACGCUGAGGCGCGAAAGCGUGGGGAGCA